AGAGUUUGAUCCUGGCUCAGGAUGAACGCUAGCGGCAGGCUUAAUACAUGCAAGUCGAACGGUAAGUAGUGUAGCAAUACAUUACCAAGAGUGACGUACGGGUGCGUAACACGUAUGCAACCUACCUUGUACUGGAGGAUAGCUCGGGGAAACUCGAAUUAACCCUCCAUAAUAUAAUUGGAUGGCAUCAUUUGAUUAUUAAAAUUCCGGUGGUACAAGAUGGGCAUGCGUCUGAUUAGUUAGUUGGCGGGGUAACGGCCCACCAAGACGAUGAUCAGUAGGGGAACUGAGAGGUUGAUCCCCCACACUGGCACUGAGAUACGGGCCAGACUCCUACGGGAGGCAGCAGUAGGGAAUAUUGGGUCAAAUGGGUGCAAGCCCUGAACCAGCCAUGCCCGCGUGCAGGAAAGAAGGCCUUCCUGGGGUUUGUAAAACUGCUUUUGGCAGGGGAUAAAAUGACCAUGGCGUGGGUUAUUGGAAGGUACCUGGGUGAAAUAAGCCCCCGGCUAACUAAGUGGCCAGCAGCCCCGGGUAAUUCGUAAGUGGGCAAGCGUUGUCCCGGAUUUAUAUGGGUUUAAAGGGUGCGUAAGCCGGCCUGUGUAAUCAGUGCUGUAAAUCCCCCCGGCUUAACCCGGGGUGGUGGCAUUUAUACUGCAGGGCUUGGGUACAGGAUGAGAGUAAGCGGAAAUUUACCGUGUAUCGGUGAAAUGCAUAGAUAUCCUCCAGAGCACCGAUAGCGAAGGAGCCUUACUGGCUGUAACUGAACGUCUGAUCACACGAAAAUGUUGGGUCUCAAACCAGGAUUGAGAUCCCUGUGAUAGUCCACACUGUAAACGUUAAUUACUCGCUGUUUUGCGAAUACCACACCAAGCGGCUUAAGCGAAAGACGCGAUAAAUGUAAAUCCCACCUGGGGAGUUACCGCCCGGCCACCGUGUGAAAACUCUCAAAGGGAAUUGACCGGAGGUUCCCGCCCACAAAGGCGGUUGGAGCAUGGUGGUUUUAUUUCGAUGAUAUACGCGCGAAGGAACCUUUACCCUGGACUUAGAAAUUGCCCUUGACCUGAGAGCAGAAAUGGUUUUCGUUUCAGCAAUGACAAAGGAGCAAAGGUGCUGCAUGGCUGUCGUCAGCUUCGUGCCGUGAGGUGUUGGGUUAAGUCCCGCAACGAGCGCAACCCCUAUUUUUAGUUGCCAGCACGUAAUGGUGGGGACUCUAAAAAGACUGCCUGCGCAAGCAGAGAGGAAGGAGGGGACGACGUCAAGUCAUCAUGGCCCUUACGUCCAGGGCUACACACGUGCUACAAUGGCGUAUACAAAGUGUUGCGACCUGGUGACAGGGAGCCAAUCACAAAAAGUACGUCUCAGUUCGGAUUGCAGGCUGCAACUCGCCUGCAUGAAGUUGGAAUCGCUAGUAAUCGCAAAUCAGCAAUGUUGCGGUGAAUACGUUCCCGGACCUUGUACACACCGCCCGUCAAGCCAUGGGAGUUGGGAGGACCUGAAGACAGUUGCUGUAAGGCGCUGUUUAGGGUUAAACCGAUGACUAGGGCUAAGUCGUAACAAGGUAACC
This 1564-nucleotide ribosomal RNA is filed under the name uncultured bacterium. RNAcentral's name for it is "bacterial SSU rRNA". It matches the Rfam family "Bacterial small subunit ribosomal RNA". The record is from RNAcentral.